This 314-nucleotide long non-coding RNA is filed under the name Ricinus communis (castor bean). RNAcentral describes it as "long non-coding RNA (RCOM_LNC002796)". Lineage: Eukaryota; Viridiplantae; Streptophyta; Magnoliopsida; Malpighiales; Euphorbiaceae. The record is from RNAcentral.
CACCACAUAGUUAAAAUCUGGAGUCAUUGAUCUCAGAAUUUUUGCUACCACUUCACCAUCUCCCUUGCUCUCCCCAUUUGCCUUCAUCUUGUUGACGAUGGUAAGAGUUCUAGCAAAAUAAUCGCUGACAGAUUCUCCUUCCUUCAUUUCAAGAACUUCAAACUCUUUUCGUAGAGCUUGCAAAUGUGACUGCUUUACCCUUGAUGCGCCUUGAUGUUUUUGCCUCAUCGAAUCCCAUAUGCUCUUAGAUGUUUCUUCGUUGAGAAUUGUCUCUUGUUCAAAGCAAUCUAGAGCCUGAAACAAGUAAUUCUUUG